CCUACGGGGGGCAGCAGUGAGGAAUAUUGGUCAAUGGCCGGAAGGCUGAACCAGCCAUGCCGCGUGAAGGUCAGUGCCCUAUGGGCGUUAAACUUCUUUUGUGCGGGAGCAAUAAUGGUCACGUGUGGCCAGACGAGAGUACCGUACGAAUAAGCAUCGGCUAACUCCGUGCCAGCAGCCGCGGUAAUACGGGGGAUGCAAGCGUUAUCCGGAUUUAUUGGGUUUAAAGGGUGCGUAGGCUGGGAGGUAAGUCAGCGGUGAAAUGCCCCCGCUCAACGGGGUGAAGUGCCAUUGAUACUGCCUGGCUGGAAUGCGGAUGCCGUGGGAGGAAUGUGUGGUGUAGCGGUGAAAUGCAUAGAUAUCACACAGAACACCGAUUGCGAAGGCAUCUCACGAAUCCGCGAUUGACGCUGAUGCACGAAAGCGUGGGUAUCAAACAGGAUUAGAUACCCGUGUAGUC
Molecule: ribosomal RNA, 460 nt
Filed under: uncultured bacterium
Lineage: Bacteria
Description: partial 16S ribosomal RNA
Rfam family: Bacterial small subunit ribosomal RNA
Source: RNAcentral